AUUGAACGCUGGCGGCAGGCUUAACACAUGCAAGUCGAGCGGAGAGAGGUAGCUUGCUACUGAUCUUAGCGGCGGACGGGUGAGUAAUGCUUAGGAAUCUGCCUAUUAGUGGGGGACAACAUUUCGAAAGGAAUGCUAAUACCGCAUACGUCCUACGGGAGAAAGCAGGGGAUCUUCGGACCUUGCGCUAAUAGAUGAGCCUAAGUCGGAUAGCUAGUUGGUGUGGUAAAGGCCUACCAAGGCGACGAUCUGUAGCGGGUCUGAGAGGAUGAUCCGCCACACUGGGACUGAGACACGGCCCAGACUCCUACGGGAGGCAGCAGGGGGGAAUAUUGGACAAUGGGCGGAAGCCUGAUCCAGCCAUGCCGCGUGUGUGAAGAAGGCCUUAUGGUUGUAAAGCACUUUAAGCGAGGAGGAGGCUACUUUAGUUAAUACCUAGAGAUAGUGGACGUUACUCGUAGAAUAAGCACCGGCUAACUCUGUGCCAGCCGCCGCGGUAA
RNAcentral lists this ribosomal RNA (500 nucleotides) under uncultured bacterium. RNAcentral's name for it is "partial 16S ribosomal RNA". It matches the Rfam family "Bacterial small subunit ribosomal RNA", at positions 30 to 523 of the family's 1533-position model. The record is from RNAcentral.